AACGCGAAGAACCUUACCUGGGCUCGAAAUGCUGUGGACCAGCUUAUGAAAGUAGGCCUUCCCGCAAGGGACCGCAGUAUAGGUGCUGCAUGGCUGUCGUCAGCUCGUGUCGUGAGAUGUUGGGUUAAGUCCCGCAACGAGCGCAACCCUUACCCCCAGUUGCCCAUCAUUUAGUUGGGCACUCUGGUGGAACCGCCUCGGAUAACGGGGAGGAAGGUGGGGAUGACGUCAAGUCCUCAUGGCCUUUAUGUCCAGGGCUACACACGUGCUACAAUGGCCGGUACAAACCGUCGCAAAGCCGCGAGGUGGAGCUAAUCGGAAAAAGCCGGCCUCAGUUCGGAUCGCAGUCUGCAACUCGACUGCGUGAAGCUGGAAUCGCUAGUAAUCGUGGAUCAGAAUGCCACGGUGAAUACGUUCCCGGGCCUUGUACACACCGCUAGUC
RNAcentral lists this ribosomal RNA (442 nucleotides) under uncultured bacterium. RNAcentral's name for it is "bacterial SSU rRNA". It matches the Rfam family "Bacterial small subunit ribosomal RNA", at positions 958 to 1398 of the family's 1533-position model. The record is from RNAcentral.